UAGGGAAUCUUCCACAAUGGGCGAAAGCCUGAUGGAGCAACGCCGCGUGAGUGAAGAAGGUUUUCGGAUCGUAAAACUCUGUUGUAAGGGAAGAACAAGUGCAGUAGUAACUGGCUGCACCUUGACGGUACCUUAUUAGAAAGCCACGGCUAACUACGUGCCAGCAGCCGCGGUAAUACGUAGGUGGCAAGCGUUGUCCGGAAUUAUUGGGCGCAAAGCGCGCGCAGGCGGUUUCUUAAGUCUGAUGUGAAAGCCCCCGGCUUAACCGGGGAGGGUCAUUGGAAACUGGGAGACUUGAGUGCAGAAGAGGAAAGUGGAAUUCCAAGUGUAGCGGUGAAAUGCGUAGAGAUUUGGAGGAACACCAGUGGCGAAGGCGACUUUCUGGUCUGUAACUGACGCUGAGGCGCGAAAGCGUGGGGAGCAAACAGG
RNAcentral lists this ribosomal RNA (429 nucleotides) under Bacillota bacterium. RNAcentral's name for it is "Firmicutes bacterium partial 16S ribosomal RNA". It matches the Rfam family "Bacterial small subunit ribosomal RNA", at positions 355 to 776 of the family's 1533-position model. The record is from RNAcentral. Lineage: Bacteria; Bacillati; Bacillota.